ACUCCUACGGGAGGCAGCAGUAAGGAAUAUUGGUCAAUGGACGAAAGUCUGAACCAGCCAUGCCGCGUGGAGGAUGAAGGUCCUCUGGAUUGUAAACUUCUUUUAUAUGGGACGAAAAGGGCCUUCUAGGCCAACUGACGGUACCAUGUGAAUAAGCACCGGCUAACUCCGUGCCAGCAGCCGCGGUAAUACGGAGGGUGCAAGCGUUAUCCGGAUUCACUGGGUUUAAAGGGUGCGUAGGUGGGUUGGUAAGUCAGUGGUGAAAUCCCCGAGCUUAACUUGGGAACUGCCAUUGAUACUAUCAAUCUUGAAUACCGUGGAGGUCAGCGGAAAUAUGUCAUGUAGCGGUGAAAUGCUUAGAUAUGACAUAGAACACCCAAUUGCGAAGGCAGCUGGCUACACGAAUAUUGACACUGAGGCACGAAAGCGUGGGGAUCAAACAGGAUUAGAUACCCCUGGUAGCGACUGA
RNAcentral lists this ribosomal RNA (469 nucleotides) under uncultured bacterium. RNAcentral describes it as "bacterial SSU rRNA". It matches the Rfam family "Bacterial small subunit ribosomal RNA", at positions 335 to 798 of the family's 1533-position model. The record is from RNAcentral.